RNAcentral lists this ribosomal RNA (441 nucleotides) under uncultured bacterium. RNAcentral describes it as "bacterial SSU rRNA". It matches the Rfam family "Bacterial small subunit ribosomal RNA", at positions 339 to 796 of the family's 1533-position model. The record is from RNAcentral.
CUACGGGAGGUAGCAGUAAGGGAUAUUGGUCAAUGGGCGCAAGCCUGAACCAGCAACGCCGCGUGCAGGAUGACGGCCUUCGGGUUGUAAACUGCUUUUGUCGGGGACGAGCAAGGACGGUACCCGACGAACAAGUCACGGCUAACUACGUGCCAGCAGCCGCGGUAAAACGUAGGUGGCGAGCGUUAUCCGGAUUUACUGGGCGUAAAGCAUGUGCAGACGGGUUGGUAAGUGGUGUAUGAAAGCGUCCGGCUUAACCGGGCAAGCGUAUGCCAGACUGCCAGUCUUGAGAGUGGGAGAGGGAUGUGGAAUUCCGGGUGUAGUGGUGAAAUGCGUAGAGAUCCGGAGGAACCCCAGAGGCGAAGGCGGCGUCCUGGCCCAUUUCUGACGUUCAGACAUGACAGCAUGGGGAGCGAACGGGAUUAGAUACCCGUGUAGUCC